Molecule: ribosomal RNA, 253 nt
Filed under: uncultured bacterium
Lineage: Bacteria
Description: partial 16S ribosomal RNA
Rfam family: Bacterial small subunit ribosomal RNA
Source: RNAcentral
UACGUAGGGGGCAAGCGUUGUCCGGAUUUAUUGGGCGUAAAGAGCGUGUAGGCGGUCAGGUAGGUCUGCUGUGAAAACUCGAGGCUUAACCUCGAGCUGUCGGCGGAAACCAGCUGGCUAGAGUCCGGAAGAGGAGAAUGGAAUUCCCGGUGUAGCGGUGAAAUGCGCAGAUAUCGGGAAGAACACCCGUGGCGAAGGCGGUUCUCUGGGACGGUACUGACGCUGAGACGCGAAAGCGUGGGGAGCGAACAGG